AACGAACGCUGGCGGCGUGGCUAAGGCAUGCAAGUCGAACGGAUUUACUCAACGGGUAACUGGAGGGUAGGUCAGUGGCGAACGGGUGAGGAAUUCAUGGAUAACGUGCCCCGGACUCAGGGAUAGCGUUGUGAAAACGAACGGUAGUACCUGAUGACCCCGUACGGACGCAUGGUCUCGCGGGCGAAAGACUCCGACGGUCCGGGGAGCGAUUCAUGUCCUAUCAGCUAGUUGGUGAGGAACGG
Molecule: ribosomal RNA, 245 nt
Filed under: uncultured bacterium
Lineage: Bacteria
Description: partial 16S ribosomal RNA
Rfam family: Bacterial small subunit ribosomal RNA
Source: RNAcentral